This 200-nucleotide ribosomal RNA is filed under the name uncultured bacterium. RNAcentral describes it as "partial 16S ribosomal RNA". It matches the Rfam family "Bacterial small subunit ribosomal RNA", at positions 8 to 210 of the family's 1533-position model. The record is from RNAcentral.
AGAGUUUGAUCAUGGCUCAGAUUGAACGCUGGCGGCAUGCCUUACACAUGCAAGUCGAGCGGUAACAGGUGUAGCAAUACAUGCUGACGAGCGGCGAACGGGUGAGUAAUGCUUUGGAAUCUUCCCAGUAGUGGGGAAUAACCAGUCGAAAGAUUGGCUAAUACCGCAUACGUCUGUGAAGGGAAAGCGGGGGAUCGCAA